This 544-nucleotide ribosomal RNA is filed under the name uncultured marine eukaryote. RNAcentral's name for it is "bacterial SSU rRNA". It matches the Rfam family "Eukaryotic small subunit ribosomal RNA", at positions 616 to 1163 of the family's 1831-position model. The record is from RNAcentral.
CGGUUAGAAAGCUCGUAGUUGGACUUCUGUCGGAGCCAAUUGGUCAUCGCUAUGCGACUGUAUCUGGUUCGGUUUCGGCAUCUUCGUGGAGGGCGCGGUUGCGCUUGAAUGCGUGGCGCGGCAUCGACGACUUUUACUUUGAGGAAAUUAGAGUGUUUACGGCAGGCAAUCGCCUUGGAUAUGUUAGCAUGGAAUAAUACUGUAGGGCUUCGGUUCUGUUUUGUUGGUUUUCUGGGCUGAGGAAAUGGUUAAUAGGGAUAACCGGGGGCACUUGUAUUAACGCGUCAGAGGUGGAAUUCUUGGAUUGCGUUACGGCAAACGGCGGCGAAAGCAUUUGCCAAGAAUGUUUUCAUUGGUCAAGAACGAAAGUAUGGGGAUCGAAGAUGAUUAGAUACCGUCGUAGUCCAUACCAUAAACUAUGCCGUCUGGAGAUAGGGGGUCGUUUUUUCACGUGACGCCUUCUGCAUCUUAUGAAAAAUCAAAGUCUUUGGGUUCCGGGGGGAGUAUGGUCGCAAGGCUGAAACUUAAAGGAAUUGACGGAAGG